AUGUUACGUUAAGUAUGUUUAUGCAACUUGUAAAAUGCAUAACAAUCUAAGAAAGCGUUUCUCGAUUUGUCACAAAUAAUGUUUCCUUAACAUUAUUGUUAUUGAUAGCAUUCCAAGCUUUUCACAGUUGGCAAGCAGAUAACAAAAUAAAGCGUUCACUGCUCGUGUGUGACCAUUCGGCGAAUUUUAAAUGCAAGUAAAAUACAGAAAAAGAAAGUUUUAAAAGAAAAACAUUGCAAAGAGAAGAAAUAAUUACACAACCAAACAGCUAUUAUACCAAAGACGAUAUAAAAAUUGCUAAACUACAAUUAUAAGCUUAAAC
This is a long non-coding RNA of Hydra vulgaris (swiftwater hydra), 322 nucleotides long. RefSeq lists it as uncharacterized. The record is from RefSeq and is a predicted model, not a curated record. Lineage: Eukaryota; Metazoa; Cnidaria; Hydrozoa; Anthoathecata; Hydridae.